GAUGAACGCUAGCGGUGUGCCUAAUGCAUGCAAGUCGAACGGGAUCCUUGGAUUCGUCUGAGGUGAGAGUGGCGGACGGGUGAGUAACACGUAGGUGACCUGCCCCGGAGAGGGGGACAACCACUGGAAACGGUGGCUAAUACCCCAGAUGUUAUUGCGCUUAGAAAGCAAUUACUAAAGCUCUGGCGCUCCGGGAGGGGCCUGCGGCCCAUCAGCUUGUUGGUAGGGUAAUGGCCUACCAAGGCUAAGACGGGUAGGGGGCGUGAGAGCGUGACCCCCCACACUGGUACUGAGAUACGGACCAGAUACCUGCGGGUAGCAGCAGCAAGGAAUAUUGCCCAAUGGACGAAAGUCUGAGGCAGCAACGCCGCGUGGAGGAUGAAGGCCUUCGGGUUGUAAACUUCUUUUCUGGGGGAAGAGAAAGGACGGUACCCCAGGAAUAAGUCUCGGCUAACUACGUG
RNAcentral lists this ribosomal RNA (461 nucleotides) under uncultured organism. Its description in RNAcentral is "bacterial SSU rRNA". It matches the Rfam family "Bacterial small subunit ribosomal RNA", at positions 28 to 507 of the family's 1533-position model. The record is from RNAcentral.